AAUAUAUUAUGGGUUUGGAGUCUGAAAAAACUCAUAGAGCAAUGUGCUGUCUAUCAGCUUCUUCUUUCGUAGCAUUAACGAGAUUGGAGUUAAAUAACAGCACUAGAAUU
Molecule: small nucleolar RNA, 110 nt
Organism: Lactuca sativa (garden lettuce)
Lineage: Eukaryota; Viridiplantae; Streptophyta; Magnoliopsida; Asterales; Asteraceae
Product: small nucleolar RNA snoR97
Source: RefSeq, a predicted model, not a curated record